RNAcentral lists this ribosomal RNA (499 nucleotides) under uncultured Streptococcus sp. RNAcentral's name for it is "partial 16S ribosomal RNA". Lineage: Bacteria; Bacillati; Bacillota; Bacilli; Lactobacillales; Streptococcaceae. The record is from RNAcentral.
CACGUAGUUAGCCGUCCCUUUCUGGUAAGAUACCGUCACAGUGUGAACUUUCCACUCUCACACUCGUUCUUCUCUUACAACAGAGCUUUACGAUCCGAAAACCUUCUUCACUCACGCGGCGUUGCUCGGUCAAACUUCCGUCCAUUGCCGAAGAUUCCCUACUGCUGCCUCCCGUAGGAGUCUGGGCCGUGUCUCAGUCCCAGUGUGGCCGAUCACCCUCUCAGGUCGGCUAUGUAUCGUCGCCUUGGUGAGCCGUUACCCCACCAACUAGCUAAUACAACGCAGGUCCAUCUGGUAGUGAUGCAAUUGCAUCUUUUAAGCAAAUGUCAUGCAACAUCCUGCUGUUAUGCGGUUAUAGCUAUCGUUACAAUAGUUACUCCCCCGCUAACCAGGCACGGUUACCUAACGCGUUACUCCACCCGUUUCGACCUAACCUCACUCCAGAGAACGCAAGCCUUCCCUCCUUCAGCCGUUUCUACCUUUGACUAUUGUAUUACGG